ACGACGCUGGCGGCGGUGACCUAUACAUGCAAGUCGAACGGUCUUUCUAUGGAAGCUUGCUUCCACUGAGAAGAUAGUGGCGAACGGGUGGAGUAACACGUGGGUAACCUGCCCAUAAGAGGGGGAUAACAUCCGGAAACGGGUGCUAAUACCGCAUAGUUUUCUUGACUCGCAGUGAUUGAGAAAGGAAAGACGGCCUUUGUGCUGUCGCUUAUGGAUGGACCCGCGGCGUAUUAGUUAGUUGGUGAGGUAACGGCUCACCAAGACGAUGAUACGUAGCCGACCUGAGAGGGUGAUCGGCCACAUUGGGACUGAGACACGGCCCAAACUCCUACGGGAGGCAGCAGUAGGGAAUCUUCCGCAAUGGACGAAAGUCUGACGGAGCAACGCCGCGUGAGUGAAAGAAGGUUUUCGGAUCGUAAAACUCUGUUGUCAGAGAAGAACAAGUUGGAGAGUAACUGCUCCAGCCUUGACGGUAUCUGACCAGAAAGCCACGGCUAACUACGUGCCAGCCGCCGC
This 519-nucleotide ribosomal RNA is filed under the name uncultured bacterium. RNAcentral describes it as "bacterial SSU rRNA". It matches the Rfam family "Bacterial small subunit ribosomal RNA", at positions 32 to 518 of the family's 1533-position model. The record is from RNAcentral.